This 65-nucleotide transfer RNA is filed under the name Polyascus gregaria. RNAcentral describes it as "tRNA-His". The record is from RNAcentral. Lineage: Eukaryota; Metazoa; Arthropoda; Thecostraca; Sacculinidae.
UAUUUAGAUAGUUUUAAUAAAAAUGUUUGUUUGUGAUUCAAAAGUUAACUAAUAUUUCUAAAUAA